AAAAAUUCAAUUCCUGGACAGGAAAUUGUUGAGCUUCAGCCUGCAUCAGAAGGGAGUCCACUAUUAGUUCCUAGACAAAAAUAUUGUGAGUCUGUGCACAAAACUAUCAGGAGAAAAACUCGCACAGUGAUGGUUGGCAACUGGCUCUCGGUAGUGAGCAUCCUAUAUGAGUUCAAACCAUGACUACAACAGACACUAAAGAUGUUGCUGGAACAGUUGAACAGGUGAUGGGGAUAGCUGAUAAAGAAGCAGACUUAGUUCGAAUAACAGUUCAAGGGAAGAGAGAGGCAGAUGCAUGUUAUGAUUUGA
Coffea arabica (coffee) is the source of this 309-nucleotide long non-coding RNA. RefSeq lists it as uncharacterized. The record is from RefSeq and is a predicted model, not a curated record. Lineage: Eukaryota; Viridiplantae; Streptophyta; Magnoliopsida; Gentianales; Rubiaceae.